Molecule: long non-coding RNA, 346 nt
Filed under: Bos taurus (domestic cattle)
Lineage: Eukaryota; Metazoa; Chordata; Mammalia; Artiodactyla; Bovidae
Description: long non-coding RNA NONBTAT018121
Source: RNAcentral
CAGCAGGUGGUGGUUCGCGUGGGCACUGAGCCCGCGAUUUCCCGCUAAUUUUUUUUAAAGGUAGGGUCAGGCGUGCCGAGUUCCUUUCCUGAGGAGGAAACCUAGAGGUGGGCGACAUUUUGAUACUGCCGCUCCCUCACGCAGGGCAGCCUCCAACGCCUCUGUAGUCGUCUAAGCACCUAAGCUAGUUCGUCCCGGCGAGGUGAUGCAAUUUAACAGUGCUGGUAGAGGUAACGGGCUUCUUUUCAGGCUGUCCUGGUGAUGAUGGUAGUUUGAGUUUCUCGAUUAUGUACGGCACCAGCACGGCCAUUGGUGGUAGGGGAAUGGUGGGGACUUAGGGGAUGUU